This 1562-nucleotide long non-coding RNA is filed under the name Homo sapiens (human). RNAcentral describes it as "HSALNT0044058". Lineage: Eukaryota; Metazoa; Chordata; Mammalia; Primates; Hominidae. The record is from RNAcentral.
CAAGAAGCUCAUCCCAGAAGAAAAGAAACCAACACCUGUUCCGAAAAAAGUGGAAGCACCACCACCCAAAGUGCCAAAGAAACGUGAACCAGUUCCAGUUCCUGUAGCUCUACCUCAGGAAGAGGAAGUUCUAUUUGAAGAAGAAAUUGUUCCUGAAGAGGAAGUUCUACCUGAGGAAGAGGAAGUUCUACCUGAGGAAGAGGAAGUUCUACCUGAAGAAGAGGAAGUUCUACCUGAAGAAGAGGAAAUUCCACCUGAGGAAGAGGAAGUUCCUCCCGAAGAAGAAUAUGUACCUGAGGAAGAAGAAUUUGUACCUGAAGAAGAAGUCCUUCCAGAAGUUAAACCUAAGGUGCCAGUACCUGCACCAGUGCCUGAAGUGCCAAAGAAACCUGUACCAGAGAAGAAAGUCCCUGUUCCCGCCCCUAAAAAAGUGGAACCUCCACCACCACCCAAAGUGCCUGAAAUUAAGAAGAAAGUGACAGAGAAGAAAGUGGUCAUUCCCAAGAAAGAGGAGGCUCCCCCUGCCAAAGUUCCUGAGGUGCCUAAGAAGGUGGAAGAAAAACGAAUCAUUCUCCCUAAAGAAGAGGAAGUUCUACCAGUUGAAGUGACUGAGGAGCCUGAAGAAGAGCCUAUUUCAGAAGAAGAAAUCCCAGAAGAACCACCUAGCAUAGAGGAAGUUGAAGAGGUGGCACCACCUAGAGUGCCUGAAGUGAUUAAGAAAGCAGUACCUGAAGCACCUACUCCUGUUCCUAAAAAAGUGGAGGCACCACCAGCUAAAGUGUCAAAGAAAAUUCCUGAGGAAAAAGUACCUGUUCCUGUUCAGAAAAAAGAGGCACCCCCAGCCAAAGUACCGGAGGUGCCUAAGAAAAUUGUGGUAGAAGAAAAAGUACGUGUUCCUGAAGAGCCCAGAGUUCCACCAACUAAAGUGCCUGAAGUGCUGCCACCGAAGGAAGUGGUCCCAGAAAAGAAAGUACCGGUGCCUCCUGCCAAAAAGCCAGAAGCUCCACCUCCUAAAGUGCCUGAGGCUCCCAAAGAAGUUGUUCCUGAAAAGAAAGUGCCAGUGCCUCCUCCUAAAAAGCCUGAAGUGCCACCCACAAAAGUCCCAGAGGUGCCAAAGGCAGCUGUCCCAGAAAAGAAGGUGCCUGAAGCUAUUCCUCCCAAACCGGAAAGUCCUCCCCCUGAAGUGCCUGAAGUGCUGCCACCGAAGGAAGUGGUCCCAGAAAAGAAAGUACCGGUGCCUCCUGCCAAAAAGCCAGAAGCUCCACCUCCUAAAGUGCCUGAGGCUCCCAAAGAAGUUGUUCCUGAAAAGAAAGUGCCAGUGCCUCCUCCUAAAAAGCCUGAAGUGCCACCCACAAAAGUCCCAGAGGUGCCAAAGGCAGCUGUCCCAGAAAAGAAGGUGCCUGAAGCUAUUCCUCCCAAACCGGAAAGUCCUCCCCCUGAAGUGCCUGAAGUGCUGCCACCGAAGGAAGUGGUCCCAGAAAAGAAAGUACCGGUGCCUCCUGCCAAAAAGCCAGAAGCUCCACCUCCUAAAGUGCCAGAGGCUCCGAAAGAAGUUGUUCCUG